GUUUACAUCAUCCAGUCGGUGCGGAGGAAGAGGUGGAGCUCGGGCCGGAGUUUCGCUUCUCGCAGCAGCAGCUGGUGAAGUCCGACGGCUACCGCCACCUAGCUCCUUCACUCAGCUGUGGCUGAGGAGGAGAAGAAGCAUUGACUCAUCACACAGUUGAUGGUUGGAUCCUAGCUGCCUCCGUCCUAAUGAUGAAGCGUCCAAGAGCAAGACGCUGAACUGCAAAUUUACUCCGGAUGGCAGCUAUGACAGCUCUGUCAUCCUCAUUGUGUGAGCCGUGUGAACAG
This is a non-coding RNA of Gasterosteus aculeatus aculeatus (three-spined stickleback), 287 nucleotides long. NCBI's taxonomy places the organism in Eukaryota, Metazoa, Chordata, Actinopteri, Perciformes, Gasterosteidae. The record is from RefSeq and is a predicted model, not a curated record.